CACAGAUGACGGUGUCCACCGCGCACGCGCACGCCCCUCGGCCGCGAGCACGAGCGAGGCGCCCACACCCGCCGCCCCGCGGACGGACCCGAACACACGACGCUCAGGGCGGGAACCAGACACGGGAGGCCACGCGGGUGUGAGUCCGCGUGCGUGACGCGUCCGGAACAGGCUCCUCCACGGACGAGAAGGACCUCUGAAUGGACUAACGUUGCACGUGCAAAAAGACGUAGAUCCUGGGGCGCCUGCGUGGCUCAGUCGGUUCAGCAUCCGACUUGGGCUCAGAUCAGAGCAUCAUGAGAUCGCUGUGCAUUGCACCAAAAAAAGCAGGAACAACAGAGAUGCCAGCCGGAACCAUCUCCUAGCCCCUUCCAGCCCUGACCUCAGCCCUAACCGGACACCAGCCAGCACCCACAGCGUGAGCCCAGGAGGACCAGGAUGGUGAUGCUCUGGUCACUGCCGCAGCCCCAGAGCCCAGCACAGGGCCUGCAAGUGGACGAGGAAACCGUCUAUUGCAUUGACUGUCUGACCCUUUGCAGGGAAAGUGUGUCGACUCCUGCCUGGGCCACCGUCUCCACGGAAAGCUACUUUGGAAUCUCCAGGAGACUGUGCAGAGGGACAGAGGAGGUAGAAACGGUCAGCAGAACUCCCGGACUGCUUCAACAGCAGCCAAGGGAGGGGGAGCAGGGACCACCUCGGGCCACAAGCCUCUUUCCAGCUAGCAUCUGUGUGCUGGGGGCCAUCGGGACAGCAUCUGGAGGCCGUGUGGCAGCAGCGCCUGUGCUGUGAUUCCGUGUCUGUGCCACAUCCAGACAAGCAAAUCCGGAGGCUCAGAGAGUCCACAGGUGCCAGCAGCUAGGCCAGGGGAGAGGAUGGUGGCUAACGGGGACAGGUUUCUCUAGGGUGAUGGAAUGUUCUGGAACCAGAUAAUGGUGAUGGUUGCACAAUCUUGUGAAUGUACUAAAUACUAUUAA
Hyaena hyaena (striped hyena) is the source of this 974-nucleotide long non-coding RNA. RefSeq lists it as uncharacterized. NCBI's taxonomy places the organism in Eukaryota, Metazoa, Chordata, Mammalia, Carnivora, Hyaenidae. The transcript has 4 exons. The record is from RefSeq and is a predicted model, not a curated record.